GUCUUGGUAGCUCAGACGGCAGAGCACUGUACCAGUGAUCCAGUAGUCGUGGGUUCAAGUCCCAUCCAAGACA
Non-coding RNA from Cydia splendana, 73 nucleotides. NCBI's taxonomy places the organism in Eukaryota, Metazoa, Arthropoda, Insecta, Lepidoptera, Tortricidae. The record is from the annotation of a RefSeq genome assembly.